Molecule: ribosomal RNA, 525 nt
Filed under: Limnichus sp. UPOL RK0725
Lineage: Eukaryota; Metazoa; Arthropoda; Insecta; Coleoptera; Limnichidae
Description: partial 16S ribosomal RNA
Rfam family: Bacterial large subunit ribosomal RNA
Source: RNAcentral
CAUGUUCUUUUGAAUAAUAAUAUUAGAUUUAACCUGCCCAAUGAUUUAUUAAAUGGCCGCGGUAUAUUGACCGUGCAAAGGUAGCAUAAUAAUUAGUUUUUUUAUUGAAAGCUGGUAUGAAUGGUUGGACGAGAGAAUUACUGUCUCUAUUUUAUUUUAUUAGAAUUUAACUUUUGAGUAAAAAGGCUUAAAUUUUAUUAAAAGACGAGAAGACCCUAUAGAGUUUUAUUUAUUAUAAUCUAUAUUUUUAUGAAGAAUAGAUUUAAUUUAGUUUUUAGUAAAUUUUGUUGGGGUGAUGUAAAGAUUGAAUUAACUCUUUAUUAUUAUAUUCAUUGAUAAAUGAGUUGUUGAUCCAUAUUUUUUGAUUAAAAGAAUAAAUUACCUUAGGGAUAACAGCGUAAUCUUUUCAAAGAGUUCUUAUCGAAGAAAGGGGUUGCGACCUCGAUGUUGGAUUAAAAUUAAUUGUUGGCGCAAAAGUUAAUAAAUUGAGUCUGUUCGACUUUUAAAAUUUUACAUGAUCUGAGU